RNAcentral lists this ribosomal RNA (520 nucleotides) under uncultured archaeon. RNAcentral describes it as "bacterial SSU rRNA". It matches the Rfam family "Archaeal small subunit ribosomal RNA", at positions 325 to 849 of the family's 1478-position model. The record is from RNAcentral.
ACGGGGUGCAGCAGGCGCGAAAACUUCGCAAUGCGGGAAACCGUGACGAGGGAAUUCCGAGUGCUCAUACAAUGUAUGGGCUUUUCUGACGUGUAAAAAGCAUCAGGAAUAAGGGCUGGGUAAGACCGGUGCCAGCCGCCGCGGUAAUACCGGCAGCUCUAGUGGUAGCCACUUUUAUUGGGCCUAAAGCGUCCGUAGCCGGUCAGGUAAAUCCUUGGGUAAAUCGUACAGCUUAACUGUGCGGCUUCCGAGGAGACUGCCUGACUUGGGACCGGGAGAGGUUGGAGGUACUCCUGGGGUAGGGGUGAAAUCCUGUAAUCCUAGGUGGACCACCGGUGGCGAAGGCGUCCAACCAGAACGGCUCCGACGGUGAGGGACGAAGGCUAGGGGCGCAAACCGGAUUAGAUACCCGGGUAGUCCUAGCUGUAAACGCUGCAGACUUGGUGUUGGAGAUCCCACGAGGGUGUCCAGUGCCGGAGAGAAGUUGUUAAGUUUGCCGCCUGGAAGUAUGUCGCAAGAC